UCUUUCUUUGUCUUUUUCUCUCCCUGUCUCAGAUCUCAGAUGAGGAACAAAAUCUAUUUUAGAGGAAUCGUUUACGUCUUUGAAAGGAAAAGCGCCUGAAAAACCAGAAAAUUGGUAUGUGAGGCCCAUAAAUAAAAUACCAAUGAGACAGGCCGAAAUAUUCGAAGAAUUCGACAAAAAAAA
Molecule: long non-coding RNA, 183 nt
Organism: Octopus sinensis (East Asian common octopus)
Lineage: Eukaryota; Metazoa; Mollusca; Cephalopoda; Octopoda; Octopodidae
Exons: 2
Source: RefSeq, a predicted model, not a curated record